Molecule: ribosomal RNA, 253 nt
Filed under: uncultured bacterium
Lineage: Bacteria
Description: partial 16S ribosomal RNA
Rfam family: Bacterial small subunit ribosomal RNA
Source: RNAcentral
UACGAAGGGGGCUAGCGUUGUUCGGAAUUACUGGGCGUAAAGCGCGCGUAGGCGGAUAAAUAAGUUAGGGGUGAAAUCCCAGGGCUCAACCCUGGAACUGCCUUUAAUACUGUUUAUCUAGAGUAUGGAAGAGGUAAGUGGAAUUCCGAGUGUAGAGGUGGAAUUCGUAGAUAUUCGGAGGAACAUCAGUGGCGAAGGCGGCUUACUGGUCCAUUACUGACGCUGAGGUGCGAAAGCGUGGGGAGCAAACAGG